GUAGGGGUGCGAGCGUUAUCCGGGAAUCAUUGGGCGUAAAGAGCUCGUAGGCGGUUCAGCAAGUCGGCUGUGAAAUUCCGAGGGCUCAACCUCGGAACUGCAGUCGAUACUGCUGUGACUCGAGUCCGGUAGAGGAGAAUGGAAUUCCCGGUGUAGCGGUGAAAUGCGCAGAUAUCGGGAGGAACACCAGUAGCGAAGGCGGUUCUCUGGGCCGGCACUGACGCUGAGGAGCGAAAGCGUGGGUAGCAAACAGGAUUAGAUACCCUGGUAGUCCACGCCGUAAACGUUGGAUACUAGGUGUGGCGUUCCGACCAACGGUCGCCGUGCCGAAGCUAACGCAUUAAGUAUCCCGCCUGGGGAGUACGGCCGCAAGGCUA
Molecule: ribosomal RNA, 377 nt
Filed under: uncultured organism
Description: partial 16S ribosomal RNA
Rfam family: Bacterial small subunit ribosomal RNA
Source: RNAcentral